This 591-nucleotide small RNA is filed under the name Arabidopsis thaliana (thale cress). RNAcentral describes it as "ATSL164570". The record is from RNAcentral. Lineage: Eukaryota; Viridiplantae; Streptophyta; Magnoliopsida; Brassicales; Brassicaceae.
CCGUAAUAUAGCGAAGAUCACGAAAAGGCCCGAAAAAGUACAUUAAGGUCAAAAUUUCGAGUAGAAAUAAAAACCAAUAGAAGAAUUCCAAUUUCCUUCCUCAUUCAUUGGAGAGCUCUCUUUGGGCUUUCCGAAAAGGUAUCACAUGCGAAGUUUCGCCUCACAAUCUAAAAGUUAUAUAGUCAUACAUUUUUAACAAAACAAAUAGAGAAAAACCGAAAAAAAGAAUGAUACAACACAACGACUUUCCCGGAGGUCACCCAUCCUAAUACUAUUCUCGCCCAAGCAAGCUUAACUGCAGAGUAUUGAUGGGAUCUGAUGCAUAAGUGCUGAUAUGAUCGCAUCCGUUACUACAUGCAAAUGCAAUCGUAUCUAUUCGUUUUUGAAGACUUUAUGAUCCAUUUGCCGUGGGUCCCACCAGCUAUGUAGGAAUACCCUAUCUUGUUUAUAAGAGCUUUGAUACAUGCAAAAAAUUGGAAAACAAUGUCUGAACAUAUAAUUUUUGUCCCGUAAUAUAGCAAAGAUCACGAAAAGGAUAGAAAAAGUACAUUAAGGUCAAAAUUUUGAGUAGAAAAAAAAUCAAUAGAAGGA